Molecule: ribosomal RNA, 201 nt
Filed under: uncultured bacterium
Lineage: Bacteria
Description: partial 16S ribosomal RNA
Rfam family: Bacterial small subunit ribosomal RNA
Source: RNAcentral
UAGUCUGCAACCCGACUACAUNAAGCUGGAAUCGCUAGUAAUCGCGGAUCAGAAUGCCGCGGUGAAUACGUUCCCGGGUCUUGUACACACCGCCCGUCACACCAUGGGAGUCGGAAAUGCCCGAAGUCUGUGACCCAACCAUUAAGGAGGGAGCAGCCGAAGGCAGGUCGGAUGACUGGGGUGAAGUCGUAACAAGGUACC